CCUACGGGCGGCUGCAGUGGGGAAUAUUGCACAAUGGGCGCAAGCCUGAUGCAGCCAUGCCGCGUGUGUGAAGAAGGCCUUCGGGUUGUAAAGCACUUUCAGCGGGGAGGAAGGCGGUGAGGUUAAUAACCUCAUCGAUUGACGUUACCCGCAGAAGAAGCACCGGCUAACUCCGUGCCAGCAGCCGCGGUAAUACGGAGGGUGCAAGCGUUAAUCGGAAUUACUGGGCGUAAAGCGCACGCAGGCGGUCUGUCAAGUCGGAUGUGAAAUCCCCGGGCUCAACCUGGGAGCUGCAUUCGAAACUGGCAGGCUAGAGUCUUGUAGAGGGGGGUAGAAUUCCAGGUGUAGCGGUGAAAUGCGUAGAGAUCUGGAGGAAUACCGGUGGCGAAGGCGGCCCCCUGGACAAAGACUGACGCUCAGGUGCGAAAGCGUGGGGAGCAAACAGGAUUAGAUACCCGAGUAGUC
RNAcentral lists this ribosomal RNA (465 nucleotides) under uncultured Klebsiella sp. RNAcentral describes it as "bacterial SSU rRNA". It matches the Rfam family "Bacterial small subunit ribosomal RNA", at positions 338 to 795 of the family's 1533-position model. Lineage: Bacteria; Pseudomonadati; Pseudomonadota; Gammaproteobacteria; Enterobacterales; Enterobacteriaceae. The record is from RNAcentral.